Molecule: ribosomal RNA, 461 nt
Filed under: uncultured Bacteroidota bacterium
Lineage: Bacteria; Pseudomonadati; Bacteroidota
Description: bacterial SSU rRNA
Rfam family: Bacterial small subunit ribosomal RNA
Source: RNAcentral
CCUACGGGUGGCAGCAGUGAGGAAUAUUGGUCAAUGGACGCAAGUCUGAACCAGCCAUGCCGCGUGAAGGAUGACGGCCCUAUGGGUUGUAAACUUCUUUUGUACGGGAAAAAACCCCUGGUCGCGUAUCAGGGCUGAUGGUACCGUAAGAAUAAGCAUCGGCUAACUCCGUGCCAGCAGCCGCGGUAAUACGGAGGAUGCAAGCGUUAUCCGGAUUUAUUGGGUUUAAAGGGUGCGUAGGCGGGAUGAUAAGUCAGUGGUGAAAUCCUACAGCUCAACUGUAGAACUGCCAUUGAUACUGUCAACCUUGAGUAUAUUUGAAGUGGGCGGAAUGUGUGGUGUAGCGGUGAAAUGCUUAGAUAUCACACAGAACACCGAUAGCGAAGGCAGCUCACUAAACUGUAACUGACGCUGAGGCACGAAAGCGUGGGGAGCAAACAGGAUUAGAUACCCUUGUAGUC